UGAGAUUGUGCUUACUGCACUUUUCUUAUCUACACACGUGUUUUUGUUUUAUUCUUAAAACUUGCUUUGGCAGUGGCUGCUUAAUUGCUCUGCUGCCAGAGGAUAAACUCAACCUAAAUUUUUUAUUUUAAACUAGUCAACUGAUUAUAUUUAUUAAUAGUCAAAACUUUCAACAACGGAUCUCUUGGUUCUCGCAUCGAUGAAGAACGCAGCGAAAUGCGAUAAGUAAUAUGAAUUGCAGAUAUUCGUGAAUCAUCGAAUCUUUGAACGCACAUUGCGCCCUCUGGUAUUCCGGAGGGCAUGCCUGUUUGAGCGUCAUUUCUCCCUCAAACCCCCGGGUUUGGUGAUGAGCAAUACGCCAGGUUUGCUUGAAAGUUAGGAGGAGUAUUUAUAACAAUGUAUUAGGUCUAACCACUCCAUUGUGCUUAAUAAAAAGCUCCAAUCUAUAUUUCAAACUUCGACCUCAAAUCAGGUAGG
RNAcentral lists this ribosomal RNA (477 nucleotides) under Lodderomyces elongisporus. RNAcentral describes it as "eukaryotic LSU rRNA". The stretch from base 165 to 318 matches the Rfam family "5.8S ribosomal RNA". Lineage: Eukaryota; Fungi; Ascomycota; Pichiomycetes; Serinales; Debaryomycetaceae. The record is from RNAcentral.